AUCUGGGCGGCGGAAUUCAGGAUGGUCGUGUUCGCGCGCGGCCGUUUGAUAUUUCCGUCGCCGUGUCGGACGUCGCGACCUGUUCGCCAGUCGGUCCCUGCUCGGAGGAAUCGCGAUCGAGCUCGUUGCGCGGUACGUUUCGGCGUGUCGCGCGGCGAAGACGCGACUCUCUGGCUGACGGCGGACAGUAAGCAACGGUGUCCGGCGUCGUGUCUCGCACUCGACGUCCGGUGCCGGUCUGCGACGAUUUCUUCGGGCCUCUUUCCGACCCGUCUUGAAACACGGACCAAGGAGUCUAACAUGCGCGCGAGUCGCGGGGCAUCGAGCGUACCACCGGUGCGCUCGUCAUAUGCGAAACCCGUCUCUGAAAGGCGUAAUGAAAGUGAACAGGGAAGAUGGCGUUCCGAGACCACGUACCGUGAUCGAGUGUCGCGGCCGGACGUCCGCACUCCCGGGGCGUCUCAAUGGCUCGUCGCGGACGCGGACGAUCGUCUCUCCGGGGACGGUGGUCGGUCUGCGUCGGACCGA
Molecule: ribosomal RNA, 528 nt
Filed under: Pseudaulacaspis prunicola
Lineage: Eukaryota; Metazoa; Arthropoda; Insecta; Hemiptera; Diaspididae
Description: eukaryotic LSU rRNA
Source: RNAcentral